RNAcentral lists this ribosomal RNA (494 nucleotides) under uncultured bacterium. RNAcentral's name for it is "partial 16S ribosomal RNA". It matches the Rfam family "Bacterial small subunit ribosomal RNA", at positions 28 to 507 of the family's 1533-position model. The record is from RNAcentral.
GACGAACGCUGGCGGCGUGCUUAACACAUGCAAGUCGAACGGUGAAGCGCCUUCCUUUUUGGUGGGUGUGGAUGAGUGGCGAACGGGUGAGUAACACGUGAGUAACCUGCCCCCUUCUUCUGGAUAACCGCAUGAAAGUGUGGCUAAUACGGGAUAUUCUGGUUCUGUCGCAUGAUGGGUCUGGGAAAGAUAUUGUUUCGGUGGGGGAUGGGCUCGCGGCCUAUCAGCUUGUUGGUGGGGUGAUGGCCUACCAAGGCGGUGACGGGUAGCCGGCCUGAGAGGGUGGACGGUCACACUGGGACUGAGACACGGCCGAGACUCCUACGGGAGGCAGCAGUGGGGAAUAUUGCACAAUGGGCGCAAGCCUGAUGCAGCGACGCCGCGUGAGGGAUGGAGGCCUUCGGGUUGUGAACCUCUUUCGCCAGUGAAGCAGGCCUGCCUCGUUUGUGGGUGGGUUGACGGUAGCUGGAUAAGAAGCGCCGGCUAACUACGUG